UAGAUUGUUUACACUGUUAAAAUUGAGUUUUGCUUCUCAAAAUUGUGGUUGUGCUCUCAUGUUACAAGAGAAAUUGAAGGCUUCUCCUAAAUUGGAGCAACCAGCUAAAUCGGCUCCUCUAAAAUCUAUAAAGCCUCCUGAGUGGCCUAGUCCAUAACCUUCCCCUUAUCCACAGCCUCGACCCCAGCCGCCAAGGGAACCCCAAACCCCUCGGGGCGUUGAGAGGCGGACCGCUGUGAGUACAUGGAUCCACAGGGACCUGCAGAGCAGAGUCCGGGCGGACUCUGGUGGACCCACUCAAACUUUAAACCCUUCAGUACUGGUCAUUUUCCUCUGCUGGUAUUUAUAACUAGAAAACUAACCACCCCCUUUCUCAGGAUCCCCAACGCCUCACAGGGUUGGCGGAGUUCCUUAUGUUCUCUCAUCAGCCUACUUGGGAUUACUGUCAACAGCGGUUACAGAUGCCUUUAACAACCGAAGAGCAAGAGAGAAUUCUGUUAGAGGCUAGAAAAAUAGCCUGGGAGCCAACGGGCGGUCUACACAGCUACAAAAUGAGAUCGACAUGGGAUUCCCUUUGACUCGCCCCAGUUGAAACUGCAACAUGGCUAAAGCCUUUGUUCUCUAGGCUCAAGGUGCUCCAGUGAGUGAGACAGCGAGCGAAAAAGCAGCUCCAGGAGGCCUACUCAAAAAAAGAAGACCUGCUACAUUAGACGUCUCCACGCAGAAAACCUUGAGACUCCGGUGGAAAGGCCCUUAUCUUGUACUCUUGACGACCCUACUUUCUACCUUUAUGGGACCCCUUUUGAUUUUGCUUCUGCUUUUAAUUAUAGGUCCAUGUGUGUUAAAUAGACAAGUCACCUUUAUUAAAACAGAAAUUAGUGCAGUGUGGCUUUUAGUUUUAAGACAA
Molecule: long non-coding RNA, 907 nt
Organism: Mus musculus (house mouse)
Lineage: Eukaryota; Metazoa; Chordata; Mammalia; Rodentia; Muridae
Product: predicted gene, 51895
Exons: 2
Source: RefSeq, a predicted model, not a curated record